Molecule: microRNA precursor, 78 nt
Filed under: Schistosoma margrebowiei
Lineage: Eukaryota; Metazoa; Platyhelminthes; Trematoda; Strigeidida; Schistosomatidae
Description: mir-3492 microRNA precursor family
Rfam family: mir-3492 microRNA precursor family
Source: Rfam by way of RNAcentral
AGCUUUCUAAAUCCGUGCAGAGAUUUCGUCAGAUACCAACCGAUUAGGGUUGAUCAGACUUUCAAGGUAAAUGAGGUU